GUUAAUUGACAGGAAAGUGGGUAAUGAGAGAAGAGGGAAGACAUUCAGCAAAGGUCGGCAGACCGGGAAUCGAACAUGCGACGGCUGCGUUGAGGACUAAGGCCUCCUUAUGUUGGUUGUGCUUAACCCCUGCGCCACCACAGCACAUCCCAGCUUAGCAUUUCUAGAGACUAAAGGAAAAAGCUGCAUUUGAAAAGUAUGAAUAAAUCCAAAUUUGCAGACUGAAACCAGCUGUUGAGCUACAAAACACAAAAUAUUAUCUAGUAUUUGUGUCUAGUUUCUACUGCAAAUAUCUUAGUGGACUUGUAUUAAAACAAAACUUAUAAGUAACUUUAAAAAAUAACAUAAAAGCUUGUUUCACCAAAUCCUUAUCAUUUAUCCAAAGGUUCUAGUAUAUUUUUUCAGUUUAUGCAAACCAAAAACCUUUUAUUUAAAUAAAAAAAAAAAAAAAUCAUGAAGCUUUGAAACAAAAAUUUUUAACAUAACAAAAUUUAUUAUUGCCGGUCUGUACCCAUCAGGUUUUCCACCUGCACAAUUUUCUGAUUCGCUCACAGACUAAAACCAGCUAAACAUGCAUGACCUGCAUGUUUAUCCAGCUUCCAUCUUAUCUACGUCACGCUUUCAAUUUUUACAAACAGCACAUAAAAAAUAAAUCAACAUAAAAUCAGGUGCAAUGGAAAAACAAAACAUUCAGUGAGGAAUCCGACAAAAACUCAAAAGAAAAACAAAAUAAGAAUUUUUUCUCAUUGAGCGAACACUUUGUUGCGUUUGAGUUUAUAGAAAAGUUCAUAAACAAUCAGCUGAAAGGAAAUCUCCACAUUCAACUUCAAGCUAAAAAAAAAAAAAAAAAAAAAAAAUGGAGGAAGUGAACCAGCAACCCCAAGUUAGUAAAACUGGAUUAGUUAAAACA
Gambusia affinis (western mosquitofish) is the source of this 910-nucleotide long non-coding RNA. RefSeq lists it as uncharacterized. Lineage: Eukaryota; Metazoa; Chordata; Actinopteri; Cyprinodontiformes; Poeciliidae. The transcript has 2 exons. The record is from RefSeq and is a predicted model, not a curated record.